Long non-coding RNA from Heterocephalus glaber (naked mole-rat), 351 nucleotides. RefSeq lists it as uncharacterized. NCBI's taxonomy places the organism in Eukaryota, Metazoa, Chordata, Mammalia, Rodentia, Bathyergidae. The record is from RefSeq and is a predicted model, not a curated record.
CUGAAGGAGGGCACCAUUUUGAAUCAUCUGGGAGCAGAGAGCACUUGGAUAAAGACACCUGGAGAAGCUCAAGCCUGAGUCCACUGUCAAGUCCACAGCACGAGGUAGGACACUCGGAAACACAAGUCACAUCUGAAAGUCAGGCUUACAUCACCAAAGCCCUUAGAUAAACAGUCACCUCCACAGCCAGCAUUCCAGGCCAAUGAUGACAUGCUCCAGAGAAGGACCAAGAUGACAGAGGGAGACGGUGCCCCCUGCGUGAAGGACAGGCUCAUCCCUUCCCUGAGCUGGCCUGUGGACAGCAUUUUUAAUAGUGUAGUAGGAGCAAAUGAAAUGAUAGGCACAAAAGAC